RNAcentral lists this ribosomal RNA (253 nucleotides) under uncultured bacterium. RNAcentral describes it as "partial 16S ribosomal RNA". It matches the Rfam family "Bacterial small subunit ribosomal RNA", at positions 524 to 776 of the family's 1533-position model. The record is from RNAcentral.
UACGUAGGGGGCAAGCGUUGUCCGGAUUUAUUGGGCGUAAAGAGCGUGUAGGCGGCCAGGUAGGUCUGCUGUGAAAACUCGAGGCUUAACCUCGAGAUGUCGGCGGAAACCAUCUGGCUAGAGUCCGGAAGAGGAGAGUGGAAUUCCUGGUGUAGCGGUGAAAUGCGCAGAUAUCGGGAAGAACACCUAUGGCGAAGGCAGCUCUCUGGGACGGUACUGACGCUGAGACGCGAAAGCGUGGGGAGCGAACAGG